CAAGGUUUCCGUAGGUGAACCUGCGGAAGGAUCAUUACCACACCCUUCAAAAGA
RNAcentral lists this ribosomal RNA (54 nucleotides) under Synura uvella. RNAcentral describes it as "partial 18S ribosomal RNA". The record is from RNAcentral. Lineage: Eukaryota; Synurophyceae; Synurales; Mallomonadaceae.